AUUGGACGCUGGCGGUAUGCUUAAGACAUGCAAGUCGAACGGAAUCUUCGGAUUCAGUGGCGGACGGGUGAGUAACACGUGGGAAUCUACUGAGUAGUGGGGGACAGCCCGGCGAAAGCCGGAUUAAUACCGCAUACGCCCUACGGGGAAAGGCGCAAGCCGCUAUUUAAUGAGCCCGCGUAAGAUUAGCUAGUUGGUGAGGUAAAGGCCCACCAAGGCAACGAUCUUUAGCUGGUCUGAGAGGAUGGCCAGCCACAUCGGGGACUGAGACACGGCCCGGACUCCUACGGGAGGCAGCAGUCGGGAAUAUUGGACAAUGGGCGCAAGCCUGAUCCAGCAAUACCGCGUGUGUGAAGAAGGCCUGCGGGUUGUAAAGCACUUUCAGUUGGGAAGAUAAUGACGUUACCAACAGAAGAAGCACCGGCGUAACUACCGUG
Molecule: ribosomal RNA, 437 nt
Filed under: uncultured bacterium
Lineage: Bacteria
Description: bacterial SSU rRNA
Rfam family: Bacterial small subunit ribosomal RNA
Source: RNAcentral